RNAcentral lists this long non-coding RNA (724 nucleotides) under Mustela putorius furo (domestic ferret). RNAcentral describes it as "lncRNA (ENSMPUG00000025505.1)". The record is from RNAcentral. Lineage: Eukaryota; Metazoa; Chordata; Mammalia; Carnivora; Mustelidae.
AUUUAUUUAUUUGACAGAGAGAUUACAAGUAGGCAGAGAGGCAGGCAGAGAGAGAGAGAGGAGGAAGCAGGCUCCCUGCUGAGCAGAGAGCCUGAUGCGGGACUCGAUCCCAGGACCCUGAGAUCAUGACCCGAGCCGAAGGCAGCGGCUUAACCCACUGAGCCACCCAGGCGCCCCCCCACUGUCUACAUUUUGUUGGUUUCCCUCUCUUAGUGCUUUUUAUGUUUUUCUAUAUUGAUGCUUAUUAACAUCACGCUGGCAAUAAUUCACUAUCUUUUCAAAUCCAGGUCUAGUUUAAUGAACAUAAAAAUUUAUUUUAUUUUAUUAUUAUUAUUUAUUAUCUUUUUUUUUAAUGUAGGUUCCAUGUCCAAUGUGGAGUUUGAACUCACAAUCCUGAGAUCAAGAACUCUGUGCUCUACCAAUAGAACCAUCCAGUGUAGAAGGCGCAUGGACUGAACAGAGGACAUGGAUGCGGAGGACAUGGAGGCAAGAGAUGCGGGUGAUGUGGAUCUGCUUGAAGGCCUGGGAGGCAGAAGAGGACAGAUGCAGUAUUAAUUUUGGUGAGCAAAAGGCAGAAGUGGGCGAUCACUUGGGUGUGAGUGUGUACAUGUGUACACAUGUGUGCAUGAGUGGGGUGUGGCUGGGGAGGGGUGGGAAGGACUAGUGAGAGAAGGACACAGUGAGAACAUGUGUCUUCUGCAGACUCAGGAAAGGAGAAAUGGAC